This 253-nucleotide ribosomal RNA is filed under the name uncultured bacterium. Its description in RNAcentral is "partial 16S ribosomal RNA". It matches the Rfam family "Bacterial small subunit ribosomal RNA", at positions 524 to 776 of the family's 1533-position model. The record is from RNAcentral.
UACAGAGGUCUCAAGCGUUGUUCGGAUUCAUUGGGCGUAAAGGGUGUGUAGGUGGCGCGCUAAGUCGGGUGUGAAAUUUCGGAGCUUAACUCCGAAACUGCAUUCGAUACUGGCGUGCUUGAGGACUGGAGAGGAGACUGGAAUUCAUGGUGUAGCAGUGAAAUGCGCAGAUAUCAGGAGGAACACCGGUGGCGAAGGCGGGUCUCUGGGCCGAUACUGACACUGAGAAGCGAAAGCGUGGGGAGCGAACAGG